Molecule: ribosomal RNA, 2203 nt
Filed under: Escherichia coli
Lineage: Bacteria; Pseudomonadati; Pseudomonadota; Gammaproteobacteria; Enterobacterales; Enterobacteriaceae
Description: partial 23S ribosomal RNA
Rfam family: Bacterial large subunit ribosomal RNA
Source: RNAcentral
AAUGGGUCAGCGACUUAUAUUCUGUAGCAAGGUUAACCGAAUAGGGGAGCCGAAGGGAAACCGAGUCUUAACUGGGCGUUAAGUUGCAGGGUAUAGACCCGAAACCCGGUGAUCUAGCCAUGGGCAGGUUGAAGGUUGGGUAACACUAACUGGAGGACCGAACCGACUAAUGUUGAAAAAUUAGCGGAUGACUUGUGGCUGGGGGUGAAAGGCCAAUCAAACCGGGAGAUAGCUGGUUCUCCCCGAAAGCUAUUUAGGUAGCGCCUCGUGAAUUCAUCUCCGGGGGUAGAGCACUGUUUCGGCAAGGGGGUCAUCCCGACUUACCAACCCGAUGCAAACUGCGAAUACCGGAGAAUGUUAUCACGGGAGACACACGGCGGGUGCUAACGUCCGUCGUGAAGAGGGAAACAACCCAGACCGCCAGCUAAGGUCCCAAAGUCAUGGUUAAGUGGGAAACGAUGUGGGAAGGCCCAGACAGCCAGGAUGUUGGCUUAGAAGCAGCCAUCAUUUAAAGAAAGCGUAAUAGCUCACUGGUCGAGUCGGCCUGCGCGGAAGAUGUAACGGGGCUAAACCAUGCACCGAAGCUGCGGCAGCGACACUAUGUGUUGUUGGGUAGGGGAGCGUUCUGUAAGCCUGUGAAGGUGUGCUGUGAGGCAUGCUGGAGGUAUCAGAAGUGCGAAUGCUGACAUAAGUAACGAUAAAGCGGGUGAAAAGCCCGCUCGCCGGAAGACCAAGGGUUCCUGUCCAACGUUAAUCGGGGCAGGGUGAGUCGACCCCUAAGGCGAGGCCGAAAGGCGUAGUCGAUGGGAAACAGGUUAAUAUUCCUGUACUUGGUGUUACUGCGAAGGGGGGACGGAGAAGGCUAUGUUGGCCGGGCGACGGUUGUCCCGGUUUAAGCGUGUAGGCUGGUUUUCCAGGCAAAUCCGGAAAAUCAAGGCUGAGGCGUGAUGACGAGGCACUACGGUGCUGAAGCAACAAAUGCCCUGCUUCCAGGAAAAGCCUCUAAGCAUCAGGUAACAUCAAAUCGUACCCCAAACCGACACAGGUGGUCAGGUAGAGAAUACCAAGGCGCUUGAGAGAACUCGGGUGAAGGAACUAGGCAAAAUGGUGCCGUAACUUCGGGAGAAGGCACGCUGAUAUGUAGGUGAAGCGACUUGCUCGUGGAGCUGAAAUCAGUCGAAGAUACCAGCUGGCUGCAACUGUUUAUUAAAAACACAGCACUGUGCAAACACGAAAGUGGACGUAUACGGUGUGACGCCUGCCCGGUGCCGGAAGGUUAAUUGAUGGGGUUAGCGGUAACGCGAAGCUCUUGAUCGAAGCCCCGGUAAACGGCGGCCGUAACUAUAACGGUCCUAAGGUAGCGAAAUUCCUUGUCGGGUAAGUUCCGACCUGCACGAAUGGCGUAAUGAUGGCCAGGCUGUCUCCACCCGAGACUCAGUGAAAUUGAACUCGCUGUGAAGAUGCAGUGUACCCGCGGCAAGACGGAAAGACCCCGUGAACCUUUACUAUAGCUUGACACUGAACAUUGAGCCUUGAUGUGUAGGAUAGGUGGGAGGCUUUGAAGUGUGGACGCCAGUCUGCAUGGAGCCGACCUUGAAAUACCACCCUUUAAUGUUUGAUGUUCUAACGUUGACCCGUGAUCCGGGUUGCGGACAGUGUCUGGUGGGUAGUUUGACUGGGGCGGUCUCCUCCUAAAGAGUAACGGAGGAGCACGAAGGUUGGCUAAUCCUGGUCGGACAUCAGGAGGUUAGUGCAAUGGCAUAAGCCAGCUUGACUGCGAGCGUGACGGCGCGAGCAGGUGCGAAAGCAGGUCAUAGUGAUCCGGUGGUUCUGAAUGGAAGGGCCAUCGCUCAACGGAUAAAAGGUACUCCGGGGAUAACAGGCUGAUACCGCCCAAGAGUUCAUAUCGACGGCGGUGUUUGGCACCUCGAUGUCGGCUCAUCACAUCCUGGGGCUGAAGUAGGUCCCAAGGGUAUGGCUGUUCGCCAUUUAAAGUGGUACGCGAGCUGGGUUUAGAACGUCGUGAGACAGUUCGGUCCCUAUCUGCCGUGGGCGCUGGAGAACUGAGGGGGGCUGCUCCUAGUACGAGAGGACCGGAGUGGACGCAUCACUGGUGUUCGGGUUGUCAUGCCAAUGGCACUGCCCGGUAGCUAAAUGCGGAAGAGAUAAGUGCUGAAAGCAUCUAAGCACGAAACUUGCCCCG